Molecule: long non-coding RNA, 987 nt
Organism: Episyrphus balteatus (marmalade hoverfly)
Lineage: Eukaryota; Metazoa; Arthropoda; Insecta; Diptera; Syrphidae
Exons: 3
Source: RefSeq, a predicted model, not a curated record
CAUUUAAGCAACUUUAACUCCAAGAGCAAGUUCGUGCGACCCAGUCGUGCAUUUUAUUUCUACAAGCAAUCAUUUAAAGAAGAUAUCGCCAUCUUAAAAUUUGUCGAAUAUCGAAAAUAAUUUUUUUUAGCAAGAAUCCAUGGGCGGCGGGCACCCCAGACAUAGUAACAAAAAUUCUCAGCUCUGCGAAAUAUUUCUAGGUUAAAUGUCUAUUUUGACCGGACUACAGCGAGCAACGAUUCGAAAACAAAGUAUACAAUUAAAUACUAGUUAACGCCACUUCCACUGGCCACCGAUGAUGCACCCAUAUCUUUGUAGAUCUUCCUUCCGUUGCGUCCGGCAUAUAUGGCUGGUUCGUGAUAUAUUGGGCCUUAGCUAAUUUUUUGCUGUGCUUUGUGAUGGCCCGGCCAUCAGGAGGUAAUUGUAUGCAAAAAAUACGUCAAUACUAUUCGAGCUCAUAGUCGCGCAUGCGCAUGCACAUACACCAUGCUUGUCGGAUAUGUCGAGUUGGAUGAAUAGCGUGACAUAUGGAUAGAUGGAUGGACACGGACAGGACACCUCCUCCUUUCUGCAAGUCUAGUCAGAAGGAAAACCAAAGUUAUGGGUAAAUACAUGCAAAUUCGUACCCUUUGGUGUAGACUGCGAAGUCGUGCGAAAAUGCUGAACAUACAACUUUUCUAUUAUCUGUUGUGAAAACGAUUGCGAACUUCAGUCACUGACGUGAUAGUGUGACGACAAUUAUUGUCUGAAGAAGUGAGGACAAGAGCGUUGAUAUUCAUUAGAGUUAGAGUGAUGAACUCUCUUUGUAUGAUACAUCCUUGAAGAGCAAAAGGUGAUGUUUUUGUUGAUUUAUUUGAACAAAUUCUCAACCAAUAUUUUCCGCUCUGACUAGUAGAAAUUAGAGCUUGUAAUAAUACUAAACUGUUUGAAAAAAUUUGGUUAAGAUUGUACCUAUAAUAAACGGGAGUUUAACAGUAACAGGUAGCU